GACGAACGCUGGCGGCGUGCUUAACACAUGCAAGUCGAACGGAAAGGCCCUGCUUUUGUGGGGUGCUCGAGUGGCGAACGGGUGAGUAACACGUGAGUAACCUGCCCUUGACUUUGGGAUAACUUCAGGAAACUGGGGCUAAUACCGGAUAGGAGCUCCUGCUGCAAGGUGGGGGUUGGAAAGUUUCGGCGGUUGGGGAUGGACUCGCGGCUUAUCAGCUUGUUGGUGGGGUAGUGGCUUACCAAGGCUUUGACGGGUAGCCGGCCUGAGAGGGUGACCGGCCACAUUGGGACUGAGAUACGGCCCAGACUCCUACGGGAGGCAGCAGUGGGGAAUAUUGCACAAUGGGCGGAAGCCUGAUGCAGCAACGCCGCGUGCGGGAUGACGGCCUUCGGGUUGUAAACCGCUUUCGCCUGUGACGAAGCGUGAGUGACGGUAAUGGGUAAAGAAGCACCGGCUAACUACGU
This 467-nucleotide ribosomal RNA is filed under the name uncultured bacterium. RNAcentral describes it as "partial 16S ribosomal RNA". It matches the Rfam family "Bacterial small subunit ribosomal RNA", at positions 28 to 506 of the family's 1533-position model. The record is from RNAcentral.